AUAAGACCUGAAAGACUCACUUUCAUCUUCUGAAUGCAACCCA
Molecule: transfer RNA, 43 nt
Filed under: Bronchocela cristatella (Green crested lizard)
Lineage: Eukaryota; Metazoa; Chordata; Lepidosauria; Squamata; Agamidae
Description: tRNA-Ala
Source: RNAcentral